UACGUAGGUGGCGAGCGUUGUCCGGAUUUACUGGGCGUAAAGAGCGCGCAGGCGGUCGUACAAGUCGCGUGUGAAAGCCCCCGGCUCAACUGGGGAGGGUCACGCGAUACUGUUCGACUCGAAGGCAGGAGAGGGAAGUGGAAUUCCCGGUGUAGUGGUGAAAUGCGUAGAUAUCGGGAAGAACACCGAUGGCGAAGGCAGCCAUCUGGACCGACACUGACGCUGAGGCGCGAAAGCGUGGGGAGCAAACAGG
This 253-nucleotide ribosomal RNA is filed under the name uncultured bacterium. RNAcentral describes it as "partial 16S ribosomal RNA". It matches the Rfam family "Bacterial small subunit ribosomal RNA", at positions 524 to 776 of the family's 1533-position model. The record is from RNAcentral.